CAGAACUGGGAAGGCUGGGAAACCCUUCUGUGAUCCCGGAAGCAGAGUCCAGUGUGUGUGUGUGCACGUGUGUGUACAUGUGCUGUGUGUAUUCAUGUCGCCUUUCUUUCAAUUGUUUCCACCCAAAGCCUCAGGCUCCAGCCCUGCCUACCGCUACUGCCCCACCUGCCUGGGAGCUGCUCUCUAUCAGGCUACCCCUCAGCCGAGCUCUGCACGCCCCUCUUCAGCAAAUUCCAGAGGACACCUCAGCCACCCCUGCUCCUUUCUUGAGGGAGAUGAACAGAUGCACAAGGACCCAGGUCACACAGCAGACUUCCACAGGCUCUGACCCCGGAACCCACUUCAAGCAGACCUAUCCUAAGGCCCUCAACAGGGGGACGUCCUGCCACCCUCCUAACUAGGACUGGUUUCCUAGGAUUGGUUUCCAGCCACACCCUGCUUACAGACAGCCCAGGCAGGUGCACACGGGUCAAACCCAGGUCUCCUCAGGGCAAUGGGUCAGGGUCCCCGUGAAAAGGAAUCCCCAGCAGAUUACAAAGCAGGUGUUUCCCAGGCUUGGGGUGACUCACUGUCCCCCAUUACAUAUACCUAUUUAUACACAA
RNAcentral lists this long non-coding RNA (602 nucleotides) under Chinchilla lanigera (long-tailed chinchilla). Its description in RNAcentral is "lncRNA (ENSCLAG00000027538.1)". The record is from RNAcentral. Lineage: Eukaryota; Metazoa; Chordata; Mammalia; Rodentia; Chinchillidae.